Molecule: ribosomal RNA, 1478 nt
Filed under: metagenome
Description: bacterial SSU rRNA
Rfam family: Bacterial small subunit ribosomal RNA
Source: RNAcentral
AGGGUUUGAUCCUGGCUCAGAGCGAACGCUGGCGGCGUGCUUAACACAUGCAAGUCGAACGAACCGCAAGGUUAGUGGCGAAAGGGUGAGUAAUACAUAGAUAACCUGCCCCUGGGUCGGGGAUAACGGGAAGAAAUUUCCGCUAAUACCCGAUGGGACCACACUGUCACCUGGCAGAGUGGUGAAAGUUCCGGCGCCCAGGGAGGGAUCUGUGUCCUAUCAGCUUGUUGGUGAGGUAACGGCUCACCAAGGCUACGACGGGUAGCAGGCCUGAGAGGGUGGUCUGCCACAUUGGGACUGAGACACUGCCCAGACUUCUACGGGAGGCUGCAGUGAGGAAUAUUGCGCAAUGGGCGAAAGCCUGACGCAGCGACGCCGCGUGCACGAAGAAGGCCUUCGGGUUGUAAAGUGCUGUCACGGGGUAAGAAAGGACCUUCGGGUCUUGACGUUCCCCCGAGAGGAAGCUCUGGCUAAACACGUGCCAGCAGCCGCGGUAAUACGUGUAGAGCUAGCGUUGCUCGGAUUCACUGGGCUUAAAGGGUGCGUAGGCGGCCGAGUAAGUAAGGUGUGAAAUCCUGCAGCUUACCUGCAGAAUUGCAUUUUAUACUGCUUGGCUAGAGUACUGAAGAGGAUAGCGGAAUUCUGGGUGUAGCGGUGAAAUGCUUAGAUAUCCAGGAGAACGCCGGUGACGAAGGUGGCUAUCUGGUCAGAUACUGACGCUGAGGCACGAAAGCCAGGGGAGCAAACGGGAUUAGAUACCCCGGUAGUCCUGGCCCUAAACGAUGUACACUUGGUGGUGGGAAUUUCGGUUCUCGCUGCCGGAGCGAAAGCGUUAAGUGUACCGCCUGGGGAGUACGCUCGCAAGGGUAAAACUCAAAGGAAUUGACGGGGGCUUACACAAGCGGUGGAGCAUGUUGUUUAAUUCGAUUCUACGCGAAGAACCUUACCCGGGUUUGACAUGUAUGUAGUAGUGAACCGAAAGGGAAACGAUCCCUCUCGAGGGAAGCAUGCACAGGUGCUGCAUGGCUGUCGUCAGCUCGUGUCGUGAGAUGUCGGGUUAAGUCCCUUAACGAGCGCAACCCCCGCUGUUAGUUGCCAUCGGGUAAUGCCGGGAACUCUAACAGGACUGCUGGCGUUAAGUCGGAAGGAAGGUGGGGACGACGUCAAGUCAUCAUGGCCCUUACGCCCGGGGCUACAAACGUGCUACAAUGGCGGUUACAGAGUGAUGCAAAGUCGCGAGGCCAAGCAAAUCACACAAAGAUCGCCCCAGUUCGGAUUGGAGUCUGCAACCCGACUCCAUGAAGUUGGAAUCGCUAGUAAUCGCGGAUCAGCUAUGCCGCGGUGAAUACGUUCCUAAGCCUUGUACACACCGCCCGUCAAGCCACGAAAGUCGGGAGUACCUGAAGUCGCUAGCCUAACCGCAAGGAGGGCGGCGCCCACGGUAAGACUGGCAAUUGGGACUAAGUCGUAACAAGGUA